RNAcentral lists this ribosomal RNA (754 nucleotides) under uncultured Actinomyces sp. Its description in RNAcentral is "bacterial SSU rRNA". It matches the Rfam family "Bacterial small subunit ribosomal RNA", at positions 28 to 776 of the family's 1533-position model. Lineage: Bacteria; Bacillati; Actinomycetota; Actinomycetes; Actinomycetales; Actinomycetaceae. The record is from RNAcentral.
GACGAACGCUGGCGGCGUGCUUAACACAUGCAAGUCGAACGCUGAAGCCUGGCUUUUGUUAGGUGGAUGAGUGGCGAACGGGUGAGUAACACGUGAGUAACCUGCCCUCUUCUUUGGGAUAACGCCCGGAAACGGGUGCUAAUACUGGAUAUUCACUUGCCUUCGCAUGGGGGUGGGUGGAAAGGGUUUUUUCUGGUGGGGGAUGGGCUCGCGGCCUAUCAGCUUGUUGGUGGGGUGAUGGCUUACCAAGGCUUUGACGGGUAGCCGGCCUGAGAGGGUGACCGGUCACAUUGGGACUGAGAUACGGCCCAGACUCCUACGGGAGGCAGCAGUGGGGAAUAUUGCACAAUGGGCGCAAGCCUGAUGCAGCGACGCCGCGUGAGGGAUGGAGGCCUUCGGGUUGUGAACCUCUUUCGCUCAUGGUCAAGCCGCAACUCAUGGUUGUGGUGAGGGUAGUGGGUAAAGAAGCGCCGGCUAACUACGUGCCAGCAGCCGCGGUAAUACGUAGGGCGCGAGCGUUGUCCGGAAUUAUUGGGCGUAAAGGGCUUGUAGGCGGUUGGUCGCGUCUGCCGUGAAAUCCUCUGGCUUAACUGGGGGCGUGCGGUGGGUACGGGCUGGCUUGAGUGCGGUAGGGGAGACUGGAACUCCUGGUGUAGCGGUGGAAUGCGCAGAUAUCAGGAAGAACACCGGUGGCGAAGGCGGGUCUCUGGGCCGUUACUGACGCUGAGGAGCGAAAGCGUGGGGAGCGAACAGG